CACAACAAAAUUUUCCCUCCACCAAAGGCUUAAGUGAGGUUUUGGAGGCUGAUAUAGCUGGGCGUGGCAUCUCUGCUCCAGAGGAGACACAGCCAGGCAGCUUUAUCACCAGGGAAGUGACAGUUUAAAAGGGGCUGGGCCAGGGAAGCCUGGAGAGAGAGGUUUACCUGCACACCUGGGCCAACCUAGCCGUGCAUCUGGGGACUUUCCUUUCCUGUGUGGCAUUGAUUGGGAUGAUCAGACAGAGACUUCGGGCUUGGUCUACAGCACUGCUCCCCCCUGAAUCUGUGAUACACAGCUCCUGCCAAAGAGAAGCUGACUCAGGUGGGAAUUCUAACGCAUUUUGCAGCGGUUCCACAACUACAGAAAAUUAUCCACUAGCCACUCUUAGGCUGCAAGAGAAAUGAAGCGAGAGAUUCCUCUGUCCAGAUAAACACCCGUGGGAUUUCUGUCCACGAGCUGGAGAACUUUUCCACAAAAGCAAUUUCUCAUUUUUUAAGAAACACUAGCUCACACAGAGGACUGUGGAUCCUCUAGGGAGAACCUUUCUCUCAGUUUUUCUGAAGUUCUGACGUGGGUGUGUGGGGCCACCUGAGCCUAAUGGUGAUGAUGUAGACUUUUGGGAGAGAGGGGAGGGAGGGAUGGGGGAAGAUGGGUUGCUGGUCAGGACGGGACAGCCCAGUGGCAUGCUGCCACCUCAACCAGCGCUCUACUUGCAAUAAAACAGGUAACUUAUCGAUCAGUGGGAAAAAAUCUGUAAUGAGUUAAUUUAGGAACUUCGAAAUGUGUCAGAACUUUAUUUCCAAGUGCCUUCUUCCCAGUAUGAGAACAUUAGUUUUUUCUAAAGUGAAUAUGCAAAUAUGCUUCCAAAAAGUGCCUUACUGAACUUAUAAAUUUGAAACUAUUUUUUUCUAGACUUUAUGGUAUUUUUUGUCAUCUUGGGCAGCUUGAUAAACCAGACUAGGUAUAUGUUUCCCAAUGGUACGAUUCCUUGUUAAAGUAAUUACAAGAUACUACUAAUAGCAAUUAACUUUUUAGAAGAAAUUUUUCUAAAUAAUCAGUAAUAAAAUAAUAUUGUUGAAUCAACCAUGCUAAGGGUAAGGCUGAAAUAUCUUGGCAUUCUCAGUAGGAAA
RNAcentral lists this long non-coding RNA (1133 nucleotides) under Chinchilla lanigera (long-tailed chinchilla). RNAcentral's name for it is "lncRNA (ENSCLAG00000023010.1)". The record is from RNAcentral. Lineage: Eukaryota; Metazoa; Chordata; Mammalia; Rodentia; Chinchillidae.